GCCCUCGGUGGCUCAGAUGGAUAGAGCGUCUGCCAUGUAAGCAGGAAUUCCGGGUUCGAGUCCCGGCCGGGGCA
This 74-nucleotide transfer RNA is filed under the name Schistocerca americana (American grasshopper). RNAcentral's name for it is "tRNA-Thr". It matches the Rfam family "tRNA". From Rfam's summary of the family: Transfer RNA (tRNA) molecules are approximately 80 nucleotides in length. Their secondary structure includes four short double-helical elements and three loops (D, anti-codon, and T loops). The record is from RNAcentral. Lineage: Eukaryota; Metazoa; Arthropoda; Insecta; Orthoptera; Acrididae. RNAcentral also lists the same sequence under 1 other name.